GUAGAACGCUGAGGAUUGGUGCUUGCACUAAUCCAAAGAGUUGCGAACGGGUGAGUAACGCGUAGGUAACCUACCUCAUAGCGGGGGAUAACUAUUGGAAACGAUAGCUAAUACCGCAUGANACUAGAGUACACAUGUACUUAAUUUAAAAGGAGCAAUUGCUUCACUAUGAGAUGGACCUGCGUUGUAUUAGCUAGUUGGUGAGGUAACGGCUCACCAAGGCGACGAUACAUAGCCGACCUGAGAGGGUGAUCGGCCACACUGGGACUGAGACACGGCCCANACUCCUACGGGAGGCAGCAGUAGGGAAUCUUCGGCAAUGGACGGAAGUCUGACCGAGCAACGCCGCGUGAGUGAAGAAGGUUUUCNGAUCGUAAAGCUCUGUUGUUAGAGAAGAACGGUAAUGGGAGUGGAAAAUCCAUUACGUGACGGUAACUAACCAGAAAGGGACGGCUAACUACGUGCCAGCAGCCGCGGUAAUACGUANGUCUCGAGCGUUGUCCGGAUUUAUUGGGCGUAAAGCGAGCGCAGGCGGUUCUAUAAGUCUGAAGUAAAAGGCAGUGGCUCAACCAUUGUAUGCUUUGGAAACUGUAGAACUUGAGUGCAGAAGGGGAGAGUGGAAUUCCAUGUGUAGCGGUGAAAUGCGUANAUAUAUGGAGGAACACCGGUGGCGAANGCGGCUCUCUGGUCUGUAACUGACGCUGAGGCUCGAAAGCGUGGGGAGCAAACAGGAUUAGAUACCCUGGUA
This 748-nucleotide ribosomal RNA is filed under the name Streptococcus iniae. RNAcentral's name for it is "bacterial SSU rRNA". It matches the Rfam family "Bacterial small subunit ribosomal RNA", at positions 61 to 792 of the family's 1533-position model. The record is from RNAcentral. Lineage: Bacteria; Bacillati; Bacillota; Bacilli; Lactobacillales; Streptococcaceae.